Molecule: long non-coding RNA, 829 nt
Organism: Bubalus bubalis (water buffalo)
Lineage: Eukaryota; Metazoa; Chordata; Mammalia; Artiodactyla; Bovidae
Exons: 2
Source: RefSeq, a predicted model, not a curated record
AGACAGUUCCCUAUGGAGCUCUUGGGUUUCUGCAAAAUUCAUAAGCAGAACUAACUGCCCUUUCAUUCUCAUUUUAGAGGGAAAGCCUUAAGACAGCAUUGGCGUUUCCACGUGGAGCAAAGCAUGGGCUUGCUUAUUGUCCUGUGUAAAGACAGAGCUUCCCUCAGGGACUAAAGUUGUCGGGUUUGCUCUGAGGCCAUCAAUAGAUUCAGAUUCUCUGUACUCCGGAUUCCACUGCCUGCUCUGUAUCCGCCUGGGCUCUCUGCCUCCACAGCUUGGGGCUGAGGAACAGGGAGAACCAAUCUGAACGUAAAUCUUGGGUUGCUUGCUGUGCUGUGAUUAAUGAAGUCAUUGUCUCUAAUCCAGGACUCUCUUGUCUUCUGCCAGCAUGAAACUGACAGGCCAACUUGUGAGCUUGAGAGGAGAUAAAAAUUUGCAGUUCUUGGACAGAGCGUGUGAAACUCUGAAAUGUGCCGUUGUCAGCUCAGAGGACUCGGGAAUUUCUUCUGCUUACGGAGUACGGGUGGCUGAGGGCAACUGCCGCAGGAGAGGUAACACCUGAACCACAUCUGAAAGAUGAGAAGUUGGCCAAGUGGGAGGAACACCAAGAAGAAGAAAUGAGACAUAGGAUUCUUCAGCAGAACAUUCAGAAGCUCGCAACUGAGCUGCAUCUGGCUGUUUUAAGAAAUAAAAAAGGGGGAGAUGCCGGAACCAGCAUGAGGACUCCGCCCGUGGCAAUGGUCAUGAGGAAGGAGGCUCUGCAUAUGCAAAGGUGGGAUCGAGCCUCAAGAGUUCCCCCUGGAAAUUCUCGAGCAUCUACCCCCAAAAC